GGAAGGAUCAUUAACAAUAAUCCAAACACUUGUCUUGGCUGCGAACCUGCUUUAACGAGCAGGCUAGCAGCCGCUGACACAACCACUAACAUUCAACAUUGACAACUAAUGGAGAACCAAUACAAUAUAAAAGAAAAACAACUUUUAACAAUGGAUCUCUCGGCUCUUGCAACGAUGAAGAACGCAGCGAACUGCGAAACGUGAUGUGAACUGCACUCUUCGUGAAUCAUCCAAUCUUUGAACGCAACUUGCACCUUGUAACUUUUGUCACAAGGUAUACUUGUUUGAGUAUCCGCAACUUCUCAACCCCCCUUCGGGGUGGAUUGUUGGACAUGAGCGCUCUUGCUUUCUGAAAGUAAGUCGCUUUAAAUGCGGAUGGUCGUUGAGACAUGUCUCCGCCUGGAGCAGUGUUCUGUGUCAACAGACGAUUGGGAUAACAUCCUUACAAUUGUCGUUGGCGAUACAGGCCUGUUCAUGGUUUGGUGUUGACAUGUUGACCGUCAUCUUGGUGUCUUGCCUGCCUCCUUUGGUGGAAGGUACUGACACCAUACACUAGAUGCGCAUGCAUGCAAAUGUGUGUGCUUCUGGUGCGAAAUGAAUGGAUCUCAAAUCAAGUAAGGAUACCCGCUGAACUUAAGCAUAUCAGUAAGCGGAGGAAAAGAAACUAACAAGGAUUCCCUGAGUAACGGCGAGUGAAACGGGAAAAGCUCAAAUUUGAAAUCUGGCAUCCAUUAGGGUGUCCGAAUUGUCAUUGAGAGGGCCUUCUUUUGGCUCGAGGCUGUGGUCGAAGUUCUCUGGAAAGGGACAACAAAGAGGGUGACAUUCCCGUCUAGGCCAUGGCUGAGGGUCAGCAAGAAGAAGGCUCUAAGAGUCGGAUUGUUUGGGAAUGCAGUCCAAAAUGGGUGGUACAUUUCAUCUAAAGCUAAAUAUAGGCAAGAGACCGAUAGCGAACAAGUACCGUGAGGGAAAGAUGAAAAGAACUUUGAAAAGAGAGUUAAAUAGUACGUGAAAUUGUUAAAAGGGAAACGAUUGAGACCAGUGAUGCAACGGUCCUUGAGCACGGCCUUUGGGCAGUGUGUUUGGGCCGGCUGCAAGUCGACGCUCCUUUUGUGCCCUGGAUAAGACACAAAGAAAGGUGGCUCCUUCUUCGGAAGGUUGCUUUAUAGUCUUUGUGGGAUACAGGGUGUCGAGAGGAGACAGGUAGGGUCGCAAGAUCCACGUCGACGAAAUGGUCUUAAACGACCCGUCUUGAAACACGGACCAAGGAGUCUAACAACUAUGCGAGUAUUUGAGUGGCAAACUCGAAUGCGCAAAGAAACUGAACGCGUGGGAUUUGUCUUUUUACGAAAGGGCAUUGCACCAUGGGCCGGUCCUUGUCAUUGACUUGGAUUGCGCUAGAGCAUAUCUGUUGGGACCCGAAAGAUGGUGAACUAUGCCUGAAUAGGGUGAAGCCAGGGGAAACUCUGGUGGAGGCUCGUAGACAUUCUGACGUGCAAAUCGAUGUUCAAAUUUGGGUAUAGGGGCGAAAGACUAAUCGAACCAUCUAGUAGCUGGUUCCCUC
This 1561-nucleotide unclassified non-coding RNA is filed under the name uncultured fungus. Its description in RNAcentral is "sequence contains 18S rRNA gene, ITS1, 5.8S rRNA gene, ITS2, 28S rRNA gene". The stretch from base 601 to 1561 matches the Rfam family "Eukaryotic large subunit ribosomal RNA", at positions 1 to 961 of the family's 3401-position model. Lineage: Eukaryota; Fungi. The record is from RNAcentral.